AGUGGCGAAGGCGGCUGUCUGGUCUGCAACUGACGCUGAGGCUCGAAAGCAUGGGUAGCGAACAGGAUUAGAUACCCUGGUAGUCCAUGCCGUAAACGAUGAGUGCUAGGUGUUGGAGGGUUUCCGCCCUUCAGUGCCGCAGCUAACGCAUUAAGCACUCCGCCUGGGGAGUACGACCGCAAGGUUGAAACUCAAAGGAAUUGACGGGGGCCCGCACAAGCGGUGGAGCAUGUGGUUUAAUUCGAAGCUACGCGAAGAACCUUACCAGGUCUUGACAUCUUGCGCUAACCUAAGAGAUUAGGCGUUCCCUUCGGGGACGCAAUGACAGGUGGUGCAUGGUCGUCGUCAGCUCGUGUCGUGAGAUGUUGGGUUAAGUCCCGCAACGAGCGCAACCCUUGUUACUAGUUGCCAGCAUUCAGUUGGGCACUCUAGUGAGACUGCCGGUGACAAACCGGAGGAAGGUGGGGACGACGUCAGAUCAUCAUGCCCCUUAUGACCUGGGCUACACACGUGCUACAAUGGCCGGUACAACGAGCAGCUAACCCGCGAGGGUGUGCAAAUCUCUUAAAGCCGGUCUCAGUUCGGACUGCAGUCUGCAACUCGACUGCACGAAGUCGGAAUCGCUAGUAAUCGCGGAUCAGCAUGCCGCGGUGAAUACGUUCCCGGGCCUUGUACACACCGCCCGUCACACCAUGGAAGUUUGCAAUGCCCAAAGUCAGU
RNAcentral lists this ribosomal RNA (720 nucleotides) under uncultured Lactobacillus sp. Its description in RNAcentral is "bacterial SSU rRNA". It matches the Rfam family "Bacterial small subunit ribosomal RNA", at positions 711 to 1431 of the family's 1533-position model. Lineage: Bacteria; Bacillati; Bacillota; Bacilli; Lactobacillales; Lactobacillaceae. The record is from RNAcentral.